Molecule: ribosomal RNA, 253 nt
Filed under: uncultured bacterium
Lineage: Bacteria
Description: partial 16S ribosomal RNA
Rfam family: Bacterial small subunit ribosomal RNA
Source: RNAcentral
UACGGAGGGUGCAAACGUUGCUCGGAAUCAUUGGGCGUAAAGCGCACGUAGGCGGACUAUCAAGUCGGAUGUGAAAUCCCUCGGCUUAACCGAGGAAGUGCAUUCGAAACUAGUAGUCUUGAGUAUGGAAGAGGGUCGCGGAAUUCCCGGUGUAGAGGUGAAAUUCGUAGAUAUCGGGAGGAACACCAGUGGCGAAGGCGGCGACCUGGGCCAAUACUGACGCUGAGGUGCGAAAGUGUGGGGAGCAAACAGG